UACGGAGGGUGCAAGCGUUAAUCGGAUUUACUGGGCGUAAAGCGCGCGUAGGCGGUUACGUAAGUCGGGUGUGAAAGCCCCGGGCUCAACCUGGGAAUUGCAUUCGAUACUGCGUGGCUAGAGUUUGGGAGAGGGAAGUGGAAUUCCGGGUGUAGCGGUGAAAUGCGUAGAUAUCCGGAGGAACACCAGUGGCGAAGGCGACUUCCUGGCCCAAAACUGACGCUGAGGUGCGAAAGCGUGGGGAGCAAACAGG
This 253-nucleotide unclassified non-coding RNA is filed under the name uncultured Gammaproteobacteria bacterium. RNAcentral describes it as "contains 16S-23S intergenic spacer region". It matches the Rfam family "Bacterial small subunit ribosomal RNA", at positions 524 to 776 of the family's 1533-position model. The record is from RNAcentral. Lineage: Bacteria; Pseudomonadati; Pseudomonadota; Gammaproteobacteria.